Molecule: long non-coding RNA, 1978 nt
Organism: Zonotrichia albicollis (white-throated sparrow)
Lineage: Eukaryota; Metazoa; Chordata; Aves; Passeriformes; Passerellidae
Source: RefSeq, a predicted model, not a curated record
CACCCUGGAGGAUACCUACCUAGAGAUCUGCUAGAGGCUUCUGGUUCUAUUCAUGGGCUUGAAGAAAGCAAUCCAGCAACAAGAACUGCUCAGGAGAUAGCCCUGGCACCAAUCCCUGACAUCCUAGGGGCGACUACACAGUAAUUCUCAUUCUAAAUGCAUCAGGAAGCUCUCCGUCAUACUUCUUUCAAGGUCUUCAGGGCUUCAGCUGCCCCAGAAAGAGGAACAAAAAAGCACACUGAAAACAUUGAAAGAGAGGACUGGAGGAGAAAGAUGAAAGGAGAUGAGUAGGUGUGGGAAAAAGAGACAGAACAAGCACAGCUGUAGAGUCAGAACAGACUACAUAUUUAUUUUCUUUAAAAAGGCAUGUAAAGCUCCUCUGGGAAAGCACUGUCCACUGCCCAAGACAGCAUGCUAGAGUAGAUGGAGUGACAGCCUAAUGCAUUUAAACAACAUCUAGGUGCAAGUGAAAUAAAAUGGAGGCAACCUUUUCCUUCUUGUGCAAGUAAGACAGGGAAAUCUCCUGGGCUCUCGGGUUGAUCACAGGAAAGACAGCUGUGCUCAGACUCCAGCAGAAGUGGCAUGUGGCUCUCUUUGGAGCAGGAAAUGGGGGAACCAAGACCAGCCAUUCUGAAAUUGCCUCUUCAAGAUUCAAAAACUGUGUCAUCAUUAAGAUUCAGAGCUAACAGUCAGAGGAAAGCCAAAGGACAGGUAUAGAAGGUCAUCUCAGCAGGAUUUUCCAGCAAGACUAUCACUGCAUCAACACUUUCCAGUGGACCAUAACUUCCCUGUCAAAGAGGACAAGAAAGACUAAGCUAUGAUCUUGCAUGACCUUUUGUCUCCUAGUUUUCUUUCUUGACACUUCAUACUGUUUCUCCUUCCAUGAUUACGGUCCUACCACACCCCUCUCUUUCUCAUCGAUGGAGGAAAUAAGGUAUCUACUACUCAGCAUCAAUGCAGUAAAAAAAAAAAAAAAAAAAAAAAAAGGGGGAGCUACUUCAACUGUAGAAGAAAUGGAUAUUUUAUUUUCAAGUACAUGAAGCAAGAAUACUGCCUAAAGACAUGAGAUGUUAAAAAAAUGGUAUACACCUGUUUUUAGCUGCCUUUGAGAGGUUGUAAAGCACCUCACUGCAACGCUAGCCAAGUCAAUGAGUGAAAUUCUCUUCUGUAACACCUCAGAAAUGCAGAAAGUCUUCAGUGCUGCUGUACACUCCUGGGGGUAAAAAGUGAUUCAAUGUGUAAAGGGGUAUUCUGAAAGAAUGGUUAUAUAUAUUACUAGCUGAAUUUAAUUUCUUAAUUUUAACUCAGAUGUAGAGAUUUAACUAAUAUUUUGCUCUUUUUUUUACUAAAAAAUACAGUGGAAUUUGAUCAAUUGAAAGAUAAGAUAGAAGGAAUACUAGCAAUUAAAACUCUAAAUAGUAGCUUUUGGGGACUGAAAAUAUUAAUGGAUUAUGGCUAUGUUCAGCAAGUACUAUUACAGCAAAAUUUUUUUAAAUGAGGGCAACUGUUAGCGUCUUUCAGAUUGUCAGUAUCAAAAGGAUAACCUCCAACACAAAAACUAUGUACAUUCACAAAAAGUCAAAAAUACACAGAUAUAUCCUGAUGGAUAAUUAAAGUUUUCUGCUCUGUCAUUUGUAAUGCCUGUUGUCUUUUUUUUUGUGCAUCCCAGAAAGGCUGUGCCGAAGAGAUCCCCAAAAUUUGUCAGAGUUAACUAUAUCACUAAACUUCACAAAGCUACCACUGCUGAUGAUUAAUCAAAUUUUGCUCUAAAUAGGAUUAAUUCGGGUGUAUCUGCGAAGAAGCUUGUCAGAGUGCACGUCCCUCUUCUCAUCUGUCCUCGGGUCUUUUUUUCUUGCUGAAUUUAAAAUGAUGCUUGAGCUAUAAUCUUGCAUGGCAGAUACUGGAUCGUUCCUUUGAUAAACAUCUAAAAUGCUAAUGAAUGUGGGCUGCAGUUCUGAAACAGCAAAGCAAAUGAUUU